GCAUGGGGAAACGGGUGAGUUCCUACGGCCUAGAUAUCGCAGCCAGGGCUAGACCGGUGUUUGUCUUAAGUCAGGACUUGCUUGGGCUGAGAAAAUACAUUUUGGCUAUUCCCCUACUUGGACAGAGGGUGGAAAUCCCAGGCACCGCGAAAUCGAAACUUGCUAGGACUAAGAAGCCAACGACGCGCGAAACCGUGGGGUCCUGCGACAGAGACGCCGGCGGCGCCGCCACAGGACUGCGUUCUGGAGGCCGAGCCGGAACCCGUGCGGCGGCGCUGGGAAGAGACUGUGCCCCUGCAGCUCCCCUGUCACCGGCUCCAAGGAGCGUCGGGCUCCCCCCGCCCAGCCCUGCAGCACCCAUCCGGCAACGCCAGACUCGGCGCAACGGGGGCAGCUGCGACUUUAAAUCUCUCAGAUCCGCGGCCUGAGGGCUGCCGCCACCGAGAAAUGGAGGCACAGAGCUGUGAACAAGAGACCACGGCUCGCCGAAAUGGCGGUGCCAGGAGCCUGAAAGGGAAUGCAGCCGGCGGGGUUGUCAAGGACAACAUUUGUUUUGGCGCAACCAGCGGUGCCGUCACCAAGAAACCGUCGACUCUGAGAAAAAAAGAGAAGUUCGGCUACCGAGAAACUCCGUGCAGCAAGUGCUGUGACAGCAAAACCGCCGGCUUCGCGCCGCUGGCGAAAGAGCCAACGGAAACGCCGGGUGCUGCGACCGCGAAGCCGGCACUAGAGGGCCUCGGAUGGAGAAAGCCCCGCACCGAGACGAGGAAACUGUGCACAGCACGACUAGCAGUUGACACAAACAGAAAAGUGUCUCGUCUGCUCUCUGGGAGAAAGCGUGGAUCAAAACCAGCAACUCAGUGGAGAGAACCCCGCAGCCACUGAAGAAGUUGCCCACGUGGCGGUGGGGCCAGAGAAACACCGCGAUUUCGACGACAGCCGUAGGGAUACCACAGAGAAACAUGCGCGGCCACAGAAGUACAUCCAGCUCCGCGCAAUCAGUGGUUCUGCGAUCCAGAAACCGCCAGCUGGGCUAGACUAGAAACUUCUAAAAAACUGUCGUCCCAUAGCAGCUUUCCUAACCACGACAGACAGUCGCCUUUAGAGAGCACCUAACGGUGCUGAGACCGGCCUGGGCCAGCAAAAGCGCAGAGCGGUGCCAGUGCCAAGAAACGCCCGACUUGGUGAAACCAACCUUGUGACCACCGAUUCCACUGGCUUCGCAGGACGCAACGGGCGAAGGCGCGGCGGAGAAACCGCAGGCUCCCUUCACCGAUUAUGCUGCGGGCUGGGGAUGGUGGGGGGCACCCGCGAAAUUGUGAAACCAGCGGCGCUGGGACCCAGCGAUCAGCUGCCCGUAGCAAAUGUCUGUGCAGUUGCAAAAGAUAAUUUUUGGCCGUGAGAAGGUUGCCGCCAGAGAGCGUCCGAUAACGCUGACAAAGGCGUGGCGUUGCCAGUGAGAAACAGCCGGCGCUGGGAAAGGAACGGUGCAGCGACCGACCAACUGCGCGCUCGGUGCCACCAAAGUGCUACUGGCUCUACCCACUCUGUCCCCCACGGGCUUAGGGAAGUCUGAUGUCUUUUUCUUUUCUUUUUUCCUCUGUCGCCUAGGCUGGUGCAGUGGUGUCAUCUUGGCUCAGUGCAGCCUCGACUUCCUGGGAUCCAGCGAUCCUCCCGCUUCAGCCUCUAGAGUAGCCGAGACCACAGGUCACCCCUCGCUGCCAGGCUCUCUUCCCGGUCCAGAGCCCACAGGAUCCUACAGGAGGGGCCAACAACUGCUUGCCUUUGAAACUUGAAACUCUCGGUCUAAGGUUCCUUAGGAGCGUAAAAGGCACAGCGUUUUCUGAUCGCAGCUUCAGGUCUCCC
Homo sapiens (human) is the source of this 1866-nucleotide long non-coding RNA. Ensembl annotates it as ANXA2R antisense RNA 1. Its record names the gene ANXA2R-AS1. NCBI's taxonomy places the organism in Eukaryota, Metazoa, Chordata, Mammalia, Primates, Hominidae. The record is from Ensembl.